GCCGGCACAAAUGGCUCUGCAUGCCACCUGUGUCAUGUGUGCCAUAGGUUUGCCAUCACGGAUCUAGGCACUUAAGGAAUGUACUGUUUUCUCCCUUUUUCUGGCAGCUAAAAAGACCAAAGGAGUAUCUUUUUAGUUGACAAAGCCUUCCCAUUAAGUCAUUUACUCCAAAUUCAGACCCUCGGCAGCUGAUUCCUUAUUUAUGAUGGUCGCAGGGUCCCCGAAAUUUCUGGGGUUAAGCAACACGGUCCUGAAGUGAGUUUUGCCCCAUUUUACGACCUUUCUGGUCACAAACUGUUGAUAAAUGAAUCCCUGCAGCAGUUUAAGUUAGUCACUUAACAAUCUGGCUUCCCCCAAUGGCUUUGCUGGUUCAGAAAGGUUACAAAAGGGGAUCACAAGACACACACACCCCUUCCAGGACACUGUGACCGUCAUAAAUGUGAGUCAGUUGCCAAGCAUCUGAAUUUGGAUCCCCUGACCCUGGAGAGGCUUCAACGGUCGCAAGUGUGAAAACUGGUCACAUGCCAAACUUUGAAGGGCCACGAAAUGAACAGUUGCAAGUUGAGGAUUGUCGGUAGUUUCCCAGCCAAGAGGGUUUCCCUGGUGGUGCCCCAUCCACUCCCACAAGCAGUCUGCUUUUGGAGAGCAGCCCAAACACCUGAAGCCGUGUGAGAGUUGUGGGAGGGGGAGAGAGGGGGAUGCAGGACAGGAAAGUAGGAACCCCCAGUUGGGGAGGGGGCACGUUUGAAAAAGCUUGGCCGCUUUUGCCUGCCGUUGCAGCCCCCUGAUGGCCCUGCGAGAGAGGAAAGCAGCACAGCAUGUGAAAAGGGGAGACAAUCGCUCUGACGAUGCGACGGCCAGAGCCGUGGAGGAAAUGAUGGCCCGGAUCAAGAGUGGGGUGGCCCUGCGGCCAGUGAGGAGUGGGGCCGAAUCCUGCCCCCAGCCUCUGUCUGCAGUGGCGAACAAGCGAAGGAGCGUGGCCAUGGAGCUGCAAGACCUCCUGAGUACCCCAAGGAGGCCACAUAGACGAUCCAGCCGACGUAAGGGCAGCCAGAAGAAAUUCCUGGUAGACAACCAACUCGAGAAACUCCUGCAGAGACGACGGCGUAUAGUUGACCAAGGCCUGGCCCUGCCAAAACUACCUGCCCCAGCUGCAGAUGGGGGGCUCCUGCCUCGUGUCCCCAGGGCCAGGGAGGAAGACCAGGCAGCAGUGGGGGUCCGGAGGAACUCCCAACCCAACAAGUCAAACUUCUCGGAGACCAGCAAAGAUCUACCAGGUGAACCAGGCAAGCUGACUGCAGGAGCCCCCGUGCAUCCCAGACUGAAGAUUGCUGAGGUGGCUUGGCUUUGACCCUGUCAGAGUAUUUACAGCCUCCCUAACAUGAUAAUAUGUGAUGUCUUCAUGUUUACUCCGGCUUCCAGUGUGAUUUCCUCCUCCCAUUAUGCUGACGGAGGCCAUGUUGCCUGUUUUCUCUCACAAGCCACUGACCACGAUUAAAUCACGUCACCCAACCCCUCUGGCUCUGGCUGCAAGUUCUCACUGGGUUUCUCUUCUCUCUCCAGUCGCUCUGGCCCUUCUCUUUGCGCUGGGCCCAUAACCUGUCAGAGUGUUUACAGCGGGAGACAACCCAGGAGCAAAACACAGGACACUGCG
Molecule: long non-coding RNA, 1654 nt
Organism: Naja naja (Indian cobra)
Lineage: Eukaryota; Metazoa; Chordata; Lepidosauria; Squamata; Elapidae
Source: Ensembl